This 253-nucleotide ribosomal RNA is filed under the name uncultured bacterium. Its description in RNAcentral is "partial 16S ribosomal RNA". It matches the Rfam family "Bacterial small subunit ribosomal RNA", at positions 524 to 776 of the family's 1533-position model. The record is from RNAcentral.
UACAGAGGGCUCAAGCGUUGUUCGGAUUCAUUGGGCGUAAAGGGUGCGUAGGUGGCGUCGUAAGUCAGGUGUGAAAUCUCGGGGCUCAACCCCGAAACUGCACUUGAUACUGCGAUGCUCGAGUACUGGAGAGGAGAUUGGAAUUUACGGUGUAGCAGUGAAAUGCGUAGAUAUCGUAAGGAAGACCAGUGGCGAAGGCGAAUCUCUGGACAGUUACUGACACUGAGGCACGAAGGCCAGGGGAGCAAACGGG